UAUGGCUGUCCGUUGUCCGUGAGACCGAGUUUCGGCCUUUAAUCCCUCCUCCAUAACUUCUACCUGUUUGUUACAACCGUCCUGCCAAAAAAGUUGAGGUGGCAUCAAUCACCACCUCAACGGGCUUCACCUUCUACUUCAGUGGAAGUUAAUCGGAAAAGCCCAAGAGGUUGUGUCAUCGCUUUCCUUGGAAAGGUGACGUCAGUCAAAGGAGGCAGUCUUGGCUGAUAAGUUUGUUCUCACUCAUAAGCAUGUGUUUAUGACUUCCUUCCGUCCAGACAGAGAGGCAGCGCCGGAGUUCGUGAGACCGAAUUUCGGCCUUUAAUCCCUCCUCCAUAACUUCUACCUGUUUGUUACAACCGUCCUGCCAAAAAAGUUGAGUGACCAAUCGGAUGGCAGUACACUCCAUCCACAACGUUCCUCUCAUCAUAGGAACAACAUCUGUCAUGGCUGGGACCACUACCUGGUGACAAAGGAGACAGCCUUUCAGCAGACACAAAUGCCGCGGACUCUCUUGACGAACUUGAACCAUAAUGCGUCUUUGAACGGCUCUGCCAGCUGGACGUCGC
Molecule: long non-coding RNA, 569 nt
Organism: Pseudoliparis swirei
Lineage: Eukaryota; Metazoa; Chordata; Actinopteri; Perciformes; Liparidae
Exons: 4
Source: RefSeq, a predicted model, not a curated record